GCGGACGGCUCAGUAACACGUCGGUAACCUACCCUCGGGAGGGGGAUAACCCCGGGAAACUGGGGCUAAUCCCCCAUAGGCCUGGGGUACUGGAAGGUCCCCAGGCCGAAAGGGAGCCGUAAGGCUCCGCCCGAGGAUGGGCCGGCGGCCGAUUAGGUAGUUGGUGGGGUAACGGCCCACCAAGCCGAAGAUCGGUACGGGCCGUGAGAGCGGGAGCCCGGAGAUGGACACUGAGACACGGGUCCAGGCCCUACGGGGCGCAGCAGGCGCGAAACCUCCGCAAUGCGGGAAACCGCGACGGGGGGACCCCCAGUGCCGUGCCUCUGGCACGGCUUUUCCGGAGUGUAAAAAGCUCCGGGAAUAAGGGCUGGGCAAGGCCGGUGGCAGCCGCCGCGGUAAUACCGGCGGCCCGAGUGGUGGCCACUAUUAUUGGGCCUAAAGCGGCCGUAGCCGGGCCCGUAAGUCCCUGGCGAAAUCCCACGGCUCAACCGUGGGGCUCGCUGGGGAUACUGCGGGCCUUGGGACCGGGAGAGGCCGGGGGUACCCCCGGGGUAGGGGUGAAAUCCUAUAAUCCCGGGGGGACCGCCAGUGGCGAAGGCGCCCGGCUGGAACGGGUCCGACGGUGAGGGCCGAAGGCCAGGGGAGCGAACCGGAUUAGAUACCCGGGUAGUCCUGGCUGUAAAGGAUGCGGGCUAGGUGUCGGGCGAGCUUGCUCGCCCGGUGCCGUAGGGAAGCCGUUAAGCCCGCCGCCUGGGGAGUACGGCCGCAAGGCUGAAACUUAAAGGAAUUGGCGGGGGAGCACUACAAGGGGUGGAGCGUGCGGUUUAAUUGGAUUCAACGCCGGGAACCUCACCGGGGGCGACGGCAGGAUGAAGGCCAGGCUGAAGGUCUUGCCGGACGCGCCGAGAGGAGGUGCAUGGCCGCCGUCAG
RNAcentral lists this ribosomal RNA (930 nucleotides) under Pyrococcus sp. HT3. Its description in RNAcentral is "bacterial SSU rRNA". It matches the Rfam family "Archaeal small subunit ribosomal RNA", at positions 81 to 1007 of the family's 1478-position model. The record is from RNAcentral. Lineage: Archaea; Methanobacteriati; Methanobacteriota; Thermococci; Thermococcales; Thermococcaceae.